UACAUAGGGUGCGAGCGUUAAUCGGAAUUACUGGGCGUAAAGCGCACGUAGGUGGCGACGUAAGUCGGGUGUGAAAGCCCCGGGCUCAACCUGGGAAUUGCAUUCGAGACUGCAUUGCUGGAGUACGGAAGAGGAAGGCGGAAUUCCCGGUGUAGCGGUGAAAUGCGUAGAUAUCGGGAGGAACAUCAGUGGCGAAGGCGGCCUUCUGGUCCAGUACUGACACUCAAGUGCGAAAGCGUGGGGAGCAAACAGG
This 253-nucleotide ribosomal RNA is filed under the name uncultured bacterium. Its description in RNAcentral is "partial 16S ribosomal RNA". It matches the Rfam family "Bacterial small subunit ribosomal RNA", at positions 524 to 776 of the family's 1533-position model. The record is from RNAcentral.